UUGGGCGUAAAGAGUCCGUAGGUAGUCAUCCAAGUCUGCUGUUAAAGAGCGAGGCUUAACCUCGUAAAGGCAGUGGAAACUGGAAGACUAGAGUGUAGUAGGGGCAGAGGGAACUCCUGGUGUAGCGGUGAAAUGCGUAGAGAUCAGGAAGAACACCGGUGGCGAAGGCGCUCUGCUGGGCUAUAACUGACACUGAGGGACGAAAGCUAGGGGAGCGAAUGGGAUUAGAUACCCCAGUAGUCCUAGCGGUAAACGAUGGAAACUAGGUGUGGCCUGUAUCGACCCGGGCCGUGCCGAAGCAAACGCGUUAAGUUUCCCGCCUGGGGAGUACGCACGCAAGUGUGAAACUCAAAGGAAUUGACGGGGGCCCGCACAAGCGGUGGAGUAUGUGGUUUAAUUCGAUGCAACGCGAAGAACCUUACCAGGACUUGACAUCUCUGGAAUCUCCUUGAAAGGGGAGAGUGCCGUAAGGAACCAGAAGACAGGUGCUGCAUGGCUGUCGUCAGCUCGUGUCGUGAGAUGUUGGGUUAAGUCCCGCAACGAGCGCAACCCUCGUCGUUAGUUGCCAUCAUUAAGUUGGGAACUCUAGCGAGACUACCGGUGACAAACCGGAGGAAGGUGAGGAUGACGUCAAGUCAGCAUGGCCCUUACGUCCUGGGCGACACACGUACUACAAUGCGAGGGACAGAGAGCAGCCAACCCGCGAGGGAGAGCGAAUCUCAUAAACCCUGGCACAGUUCAGAUUGCAGGCUGCAACUCGCCUGCAUGAAGGAGGAAUCGCUAGUAAUCGCAGGUCAGC
This 799-nucleotide ribosomal RNA is filed under the name uncultured cyanobacterium. Its description in RNAcentral is "bacterial SSU rRNA". It matches the Rfam family "Bacterial small subunit ribosomal RNA", at positions 554 to 1353 of the family's 1533-position model. The record is from RNAcentral. Lineage: Bacteria; Bacillati; Cyanobacteriota.